RNAcentral lists this ribosomal RNA (253 nucleotides) under uncultured bacterium. RNAcentral's name for it is "partial 16S ribosomal RNA". It matches the Rfam family "Bacterial small subunit ribosomal RNA", at positions 524 to 776 of the family's 1533-position model. The record is from RNAcentral.
UACGGAGGGUGCAAGCGUUGUCCGGAUUCAUUGGGUUUAAAGGGUGCGCAGGCGGAAGCUUAAGUCAGGGGUGAAAGACGGUUGCUCAACAAUCGCAGUGCCCUUGAUACUGGGCUUCUUGGGUGACGAUGAGGUAGGCGGAAUGGGUGGUGUAGCGGUGAAAUGCAUAGAUACCACCCAGAACUCCGAUUGCGAAGGCAGCCUACUGGCCGUUAACCGACGCUCAGGCACGAAAGCGUGGGGAUCAAACAGG